AAAAACAUUUCUUAUAAAAUUUUUAUAAGUAAAAUCUGCUCCAUGAUUAUAAAUAGCCGCAGAAUUUUAACUGUGCUAAGGUAGCAUAAUCAUUUACCUUUUAAUUAAAGGUCUGCAUGAAUGAUUAUACAAUUAAAUUAUUUUUUUAUAAAUAUACAUUUAAUUUAAACUAAAAAUAAAAAUGUUUUUAUAAAUAAAAAAGACGAUAAGACCCUAUUGAACUUCACCACUGUUUAGCUGGGGAAGCUAAUUAAACACAAUUUUAAUUCUUAACAAAAAAUAAAUUUCUAAUAAAAUUAUCUUAAAUAAGUUACCAUAGGGAUAACAGCGUAAUAUAAUUUAAAAGCUCAUAUUAAAAAUUAAGUUUACGACCUCGAUGUUGAAUU
RNAcentral lists this ribosomal RNA (386 nucleotides) under Dicymbium sinofacetum. RNAcentral describes it as "partial 16S ribosomal RNA". Lineage: Eukaryota; Metazoa; Arthropoda; Arachnida; Araneae; Linyphiidae. The record is from RNAcentral.